Salvelinus namaycush (lake trout) is the source of this 264-nucleotide long non-coding RNA. RefSeq lists it as uncharacterized. The record is from RefSeq and is a predicted model, not a curated record. NCBI's taxonomy places the organism in Eukaryota, Metazoa, Chordata, Actinopteri, Salmoniformes, Salmonidae. The transcript is spliced from 3 exons.
CAUCAGGACAGAGUUACAGCAUCACUAACAUCAGCUCUGAGGACAGAGGAGAAUAUUACUGUGAGGCCCAGAAUGGAAGAGGAUCUAUGAACUCUACAGCUCUGAUGAUCAUUGUAGCAGGGAAACAAACAUCAGUUGUGACUGCAGCUGUAGGAAUCAUAGUGGUUGUUCUGGGUGUCAUACUGGCUUCAUGUCUCUCUGGACUCAUGUGGUUCAGGAAGAAGGUCUCCAAAAACACAAGACACACAGCAGACAAUGGACAGG